Long non-coding RNA from Bradysia coprophila, 214 nucleotides. The record is from RefSeq and is a predicted model, not a curated record. Lineage: Eukaryota; Metazoa; Arthropoda; Insecta; Diptera; Sciaridae.
AAAAACGAAAACGUAGCACUUUAAAUUCUCUAUAAACCUUCCGAAGAAAGUUUUUGCGAAUUUACAGUCUUUCUAUCGGUUUCAGGGAUUUUCCUUUGAGAAAAAAAGAUUUUUCGACUUUGACCAAUUUUUUCCGCCAUUUUGGAAUCAAAUGUCAAAAAAUAAAUUGCACCAACGCAAUUUCACGAAUUAUUCAGACGUUUCUCUAUAUUUU